GAUGAACGCUGGCGGCGUGCCUAAUACAUGCAAGUCGAACGAAACAUCUUUAUCACCGAGUGCUUGCACUCACCGAUAAAGAGUUGAGUGGCGAACGGGUGAGUAACACGUGGGCAACCUGCCCAAAAGAGGGGGAUAACACUUGGAAACAGGUGCUAAUACCGCAUAACCAUAGUUACCGCAUGGUAACUAUGUAAAAGGUGGCUAUACUACCGCUUUUGGAUGGGCCCGCGGCGCAUUAGCUAGUUGGUAGGGUAAAGGCUUACCAAGGCAAUGAUGCGUAGCCGAAUUGAGAGGUUGAUCGGCCACAUUGGGACUGAGACACGGCCCAAACUCCUACGGGAGGCAGCAGUAGGGAAUCUUCCACAAUGGGCGAAAGCCUGAUGGAGCAACGCCGCGUGGGUGAAGAAGGUCUUCGGAUCGUAAAACCCUGUUGUUAGAGAAGAAAGUGCGUGAGAGUAACUGUUCACGUUUCGACGGUAUCUAACCAGAAAGCCACGGCUAACUACGUG
This 512-nucleotide ribosomal RNA is filed under the name uncultured bacterium. Its description in RNAcentral is "partial 16S ribosomal RNA". It matches the Rfam family "Bacterial small subunit ribosomal RNA", at positions 28 to 507 of the family's 1533-position model. The record is from RNAcentral.